Molecule: ribosomal RNA, 439 nt
Filed under: uncultured bacterium
Lineage: Bacteria
Description: partial 16S ribosomal RNA
Rfam family: Bacterial small subunit ribosomal RNA
Source: RNAcentral
CUACGGGUUGCUCCAGUGGGGAAUCUUAGACAAUGGGCGCAAGCCUGAUCUAGCCAUGCCGCGUGAGCGAUGAAGGCCUUAGGGUUGUAAAGCUCUUUCAGCGAGGAAGAUAAUGACUGUACUCGCAGAAGAAGCCCCGGCUAACUCCGUGCCAGCAGCCGCGGUAAUACGGAGGGGGCUAGCGUUGUUCGGAAUUACUGGGCGUAAAGCGCACGUAGGCGGAUCAGAAAGUCAGGGGUGAAAUCCCAGGGCUCAACCUUGGAACUGCCUUUGAAACUCCUGAUCUUGAGUUCGAGAGAGGUGAGUGGAAUUCCGAGUGUAGAGGUGAAAUUCGUAGAUAUUCGGAGGAACACCAGUGGCGAAGGCGGCUCACUGGCUCGAUACUGACGCUGAGGUGCGAAAGCGUGGGGAGCAAACAGGAUUAGAUACCCCAGUAGUC